RNAcentral lists this ribosomal RNA (645 nucleotides) under uncultured bacterium. Its description in RNAcentral is "bacterial SSU rRNA". It matches the Rfam family "Bacterial small subunit ribosomal RNA", at positions 228 to 884 of the family's 1533-position model. The record is from RNAcentral.
GAUUCGCGGCCUAUCAGCUUGUUGGUGAGGUAAUGGCUCACCAAGGCGACGACGGGUAGCCGGCCUGAGAGGGUGACCGGCCACACUGGGACUGAGACACGGCCCAGACUCCUACGGGAGGCAGCAGUGGGGAAUAUUGCGCAAUGGGCGAAAGCCUGACGCAGCAACGCCGCGUGAGGGAUGAAGGCCUUCGGGUUGUAAACCUCUUUUAGCAGGGAAGAAGCGAAAGUGACGGUACCUGCAGAAAAAGCACCGGCUAACUACGUGCCAGCAGCCGCGGUAAUACGUAGGGUGCAAGCGUUAUCCGGAAUUAUUGGGCGUAAAGAGCUCGUAGGCGGUUUGUCGCGUCUGCUGUGAAAAUCUGAGGCUCAACCUCGGACUUGCAGUGGGUACGGGCAGACUAGAGUGCGGUAGGGGAGAAGGGAAUUCCUGGUGUAGCGGUGGAAUGCGCAGAUAUCAGGAGGAACACCAAUGGCGAAGGCACUUCUCUGGGCCGCUACUGACGCUGAGGAGCGAAAGCGUGGGGAGCGAACAGGAUUAGAUACCCUGGUAGUCCACGCCGUAAACGGUGGGCACUAGUUGUGGGGACCUUCCACGGUCUCUGCGACGCAGCUAACGCAUUAAGUGCCCCGCCUGGGGAGUACG